Molecule: ribosomal RNA, 108 nt
Filed under: Bacillus subtilis
Lineage: Bacteria; Bacillati; Bacillota; Bacilli; Caryophanales; Bacillaceae
Also listed under: 1 other name
Description: partial 23S ribosomal RNA
Rfam family: Bacterial large subunit ribosomal RNA
Source: RNAcentral
UCCGCAAGGAAGUAAGAUCCCUGAAAGAUGAUCAGGUUGAUAGGUCUGAGGUGGAAGUGUGGCGACACAUGGAGCUGACAGAUACUAAUCGAUCGAGGACUUAACCCA